Molecule: ribosomal RNA, 504 nt
Filed under: uncultured bacterium
Lineage: Bacteria
Description: partial 16S ribosomal RNA
Rfam family: Bacterial small subunit ribosomal RNA
Source: RNAcentral
GACGAACGCUGGCGGCGUGCUUAACACAUGCAAGUCGAACGGUGAAGCGCUUGCCUUUUUGGUGGGUGUGGAUGAGUGGCGAACGGGUGAGUAACACGUGAGUAACCUGCCCUCUUCUUCUGGAUAACCUCAUGAAAGUGGGGCUAAUACGGGGUAUUCCGGGUCUGUCGCAUGGCGGGUUUGGGAAAGAUUGCGCCUUUGGGUGUUUUCGGUGGGGGAUGGGCUCGCGGCCUAUCAGCUUGUUGGUGGGGUGAUGGCCUGCCAAGGCGGUGACGGGUAGCCGGCCUGAGAGGGUGGACGGCCACACUGGGACUGAGACACGGCCCAGACUCCUGCGGGAGGCAGCAGUGGGGAAUAUUGCGCAAUGGGCGCAAGCCUGAUGCAGCGACGCCGCGUGAGGGAUGGAGGCCUUCGGGUUGUGAACCUCUUUCGCCAGUGAAGCAGGCCUGCUCCUGUGUGGGUGGGUUGACGGUAGCUGGAUAAGAAGCGCCGGCUAACUACGUG